RNAcentral lists this long non-coding RNA (1031 nucleotides) under Triticum aestivum (bread wheat). RNAcentral describes it as "long non-coding RNA (TAES_LNC005090)". The record is from RNAcentral. Lineage: Eukaryota; Viridiplantae; Streptophyta; Magnoliopsida; Poales; Poaceae.
ACAGACACCACAUAUGAACAUCUAAAACUUUUUAGUUAGCUUCAAAUCCAUAGAUAUGAGCAUCUUAAAUUCUUUAGUUAGCCUACAUUGAUAUGAGCACAGCCAAUUGAGUAGGGAGAAUAGACAGUAUACCAUGUCAACAUCACCAUUAGUAGACAAGCACAUAAUCCAUGAUAUAUGUACACGGUACACCAUUGCAUUUUUUUAGUUGAAAAGAGAUCAGAAGCAUCCUAAUGAGUUACAUCGAGAUAAUCUGAUUGCAUGUGUUUUAAACGUCCAUGCUGGGCCGUGUCUUGAUCAACACGCAUGCAGAUUCGAAAGCACAUCUCAUAUUUAAUUUCUACUGAGUAUAAACAUGAACUUGAGUUGUUUUACUCAAACAUAUAGUAAGGAUAAUCCUAUAAGAACUGUACAGGCAAAAAGACACAUUCUGGUUACCCUGCCACCGGCCCAUCUCAUAGCAGUUCAGACAAACACACACAUAACAUGAUAAGAGUACAAAAAACAUCAGAACUCACUGACAUGCAUGGCACAAGCUAGCAAAACAGAAUGAUUAGAUUAUUUAGAGAUGCAUCAACACCAAUCACGAAUUGGACCGGAGCAUGUUAUCCGCUUGUCCAGCAGAAAAUUAAAGAGGUGGUGCCUUUUGGAAACAAACCGCUCCAUCUUGAUCCCAUUCAACUCAAUUUCUGAUGCUACCUACAACACACAGUUGUGUCUUGUGGCCUUGUGGGGAUAAAUAUGUACAUCUGCCAGGAGAAAUUAUGCAUAAAAUUGAGCUAUGAGCUAUGUUUUAUUUAGAAUGCCAGGUCAUAAAAUUGAAAAUUUGGAAAAAUUAAUGGGAUGCAAAUCAUUUUGUGGUUUGAGUGCUGCUCAUUGUACAUGACUGACUUGGUUGAAGUGAAGAAAAAUAAAAAUACCUCUUGGUUUUGGUUGAGCUUUCCUGCAAGUGGUAGCAAUAGGGGUUUUUUCCCACAACUUGGGGCUCCAAGAAGAAGAGCCAUCCAUUUAUGUAUGUGCACGAAACAAAC